This 249-nucleotide ribosomal RNA is filed under the name uncultured bacterium. RNAcentral's name for it is "partial 16S ribosomal RNA". It matches the Rfam family "Bacterial small subunit ribosomal RNA", at positions 57 to 305 of the family's 1533-position model. The record is from RNAcentral.
GCAAGUCGAGGGGUAUCAAUUAGCUUGCUAAUUGAGAGACCGGCGCACGGGUGCGUAACGCGUAUGCAACCUGCCCUACACUGGGGGAUAGCCCGGAGAAAUCCGGAUUAAUACCGCAUAAUACUAUUGAAUCGCAUGGUUUAAUAUUUAAAGAUUUAUUGGUGUAGGAUGGGCAUGCGUCUGAUUAGCUAGUUGGUAAGGUAACGGCUUACCAAGGCAUCGAUCAGUAGCGGGUCUGAGAGGAUGAUC